CACGUAGUUAGCCGGGGCUUCUUAGUCAGGUACCGUCAUUUUCUUCCCUGCUGAUAGGGCUUUACAUACCGAAAUACUUCUUCACCCACGCGGCGUCGCUGCAUCAGGGUUUCCCCCAUUGUGCAAUAUUCCCCACUGCUGCCUCCCGUAGGAGUUUGGGCCGUGUCUCAGUCCCAAUGUGACCGUACACCCUCUCAGGCCGGCUACUGAUCGUCGCCUUGGUAGGCCGUUACCCUGCCAACUAGCUAAUCAGACGCGGACCCAUCUCAUACCACCGGAGUUUUUCACACAAAACCAUGCGGUUUCGUGCGCUUAUGCGGUAUUAACAGCCGUUUCCAACUCGUUAUCCCCCUGUACUGAGGCAGGUUAUCCACGCGUUACUCACCCGUCCGCCACUCAGUCAAAUGCUGCUUCCCUUUGAGCAAGCUCUCCAGUCCUGCUGCAAGUGCUUUCGUCGACUUGCAUGAGUUAAGCACGCCGCCAGCGUUCAUCCGUGACGCCAGGA
Molecule: ribosomal RNA, 505 nt
Filed under: uncultured Lachnospiraceae bacterium
Lineage: Bacteria; Bacillati; Bacillota; Clostridia; Lachnospirales; Lachnospiraceae
Description: partial 16S ribosomal RNA
Source: RNAcentral